GACGAACGCUGGCGGCGUGCUUAACACAUGCAAGUCGAACGGUGAAGCGCCUUCCUUUUUGGUGGGUGUGGAUGAGUGGCGAACGGGUGAGUAACACGUGAGUAACCUGCCCCCUUCUUCUGGAUAACCGCGUGAAAGUGUGGCUAAUACGGGAUAUUCUGGGUCUGUCGCAUGAUGGGUCUGGGAAAGAUAUUGUUUCGGUGGGGGAUGGGCUCGCGGCCUAUCAGCUUGUUGGUGGGGUGAUGGCCUACCAAGGCGGUGACGGGUAGCCGGCCUGAGAGGGUGGACGGUCACACUGGGACUGAGGCACGGCCCAGACUCCUACGGGAGGCAGCAGUGGGGAAUAUUGCACAAUGGGCGCAAGCCUGAUGCAGCGACGCCGCGUGAGGGAUGGAGGCCUUCGGGUUGUGAACCUCUUUCGCCAGUGAAGCAGGCCUGCCUCGUUUGUGGGUGGGUUGACGGUAGCUGGAUAAGAAGCGCCGGCUAACUACGUG
RNAcentral lists this ribosomal RNA (494 nucleotides) under uncultured bacterium. Its description in RNAcentral is "partial 16S ribosomal RNA". It matches the Rfam family "Bacterial small subunit ribosomal RNA", at positions 28 to 507 of the family's 1533-position model. The record is from RNAcentral.